CAUGCCCCUGAAGGCAUUGCAGGUGUGGCUGCUGUGUCACAUGUGCGUCAGUAGGUGGCAGAGAGGAGAGAGGCUAUGUCUACACUCUGUUCUGACCUGUGUGAAGUAAUCUGAAUGAUUAGUAGCCUGGCAUU
Molecule: small nucleolar RNA, 134 nt
Organism: Grammomys surdaster
Lineage: Eukaryota; Metazoa; Chordata; Mammalia; Rodentia; Muridae
Product: small nucleolar RNA SNORA17
Exons: 1
Source: RefSeq, a predicted model, not a curated record